CCCUACUGUGCGCUGGGCAUUACCAGCCCUGGAGACAAAGGCACAGAGUGGGUGAGGGGCCCAGGUGAGCACACAGGAAAGACAGGUAAACAACUGGUAUCUCUUAAGGGUUCAGUAUGAACAGGCGGUCCCAGGGAGCAGAUAAAAUGCUCACCACUGGGGUAGAGGAAGAAGAUGAGGCAGAAGAGAUGCAGAGACCAUGUCACAAAGAGGUCUGGCACAUCACGGAAGAUGGGUGUGGUCUCCCCAGCGGCAGGAAGCCGGGCUGGUAAAGCAGAAAAGGGUGGCAGUGGCCCGCUCAGAGCCAGUUUGCAGGGAGAGGCUGAGGAAACAAGUGCAGAGCUGGCUUCGCCAUGCCGUCAGAAAUGACUGCGCAGCCCACGAGGGAUAAGAAGGAAGGCAAGGGGCCAUCUGUAAGGGCCAGCUGUGCCAACACGAGAUGGCCCUCCAGCGUGACUGCCUGAAACUCUUCCGAGGCCACGCCCGGGCACAGGCCACGCUGAACCUUGAACCUCUUGCAGGGGUCCAGCCUGUCUCUGGCCCGCACUGAUGCCAUGUCUUCACUGGGCUGGGCCCCAGCUCUGCGACUUAACUUCUCCAAGCACAGCAUCCUCCUCUGUGGAAUGACGACCAAGGAUGAAAGGACCAUUUACCCCAUGAAAUGGAGGGAGAAAGAAAGUGAGACAGCUUGAAGAUGUUUGGCACGGGGCUUGAGACAUUAAGAAGAAAGAAGAAAUGGCAGCUGCUGUCCGUUAUGGCCGCCCCCAAAUGCGGUGAGGUUACUGUGCCCUGCGGUGAUCUGGAACAAACUCCUGCGCAGGGCUCACAACUGAAGAAGAAUACAGAUUAUCUUCUACUUGCAAAGGGCCAAAAGCUCUGGAAAUUCAUACAUCAGGCUAAAGCACAGGCCAUAUAUCAGGGCCUGAGAGCCAGAUGCCACCCUGUGAGGAGGCUGCUGCACAUCUGGCCCAGGAGAGAAGAGCAUCCUGCCAACGUCCAGUGCUUCCUUCUACAAAUGGGAAACGAAUGUGCACAUCUGCCAUCUAUGCCAUAUUUGUUUUGUUUUGUUUUUUUCCGAUACUGGGAAUCGAACUCACGACCUUGUGCUUGCCAGCUGCUGGACGCUGGCACCCCUCUGCUGCCAUAAAAAUAUCAGCACUGCCACCCCAGCUCCUGGAGGAAGUCUCAGUAUGACAGCCUGCAAAGUGAUCCUGCAUCUGAAUUUCAUCGACAAAUCCUGGUUUCCUCCAGACAAGUGCAAACCUGCACAGAUGGCCCCUCACACCAAAAAGUAAAAAUAACAAAGCUUGCAAUCCUGGGCCUCGCUUUUUCUCUGGGCAGAUGUGCCGGCUGCACAUUUUGGGAGGCGCACCGUCUGCAGCCCAGCAGCAGCCUCUCUCCUCCUGUGCAUCCUUACUCCCCUUCUGGCUUGCUGGUGGGUAGCAGCUGUGGCCGUUUAGGGUGUAUUCUUGGAAGCACACAGAGUGCCUGUGCCCUAGAAACGAGGCUGAGGCAUCCAAAAGGAUGCAUUAGUGCUCACCUGACUCCCUAAGACUGGCCGUGUUGUCACCCCCGCAAUACCCAGGGAAGGGGCUGAAAGGCUGCCGAUCAGCCGAAGUGGAAGGCAAGGAGCUGCCGUGCUAUGGGACAGUACAGGCUAAGGGCGGAUGGCAGUGUGGGAAAGGAAGCACUGGGGGAUCCUGACUUUUUGAACCUUACAAACCCCAACAAAGCACAGGAGCUUCCAGGACUCAUGAACUCUUUCCACAAACAUGGGCUGAGAUGCUCCAUUCUACGGCCUGUGGAUUUUGCUACGUAAAAGAAAAACCCAGAAAGCAGAUGUCCAGAGAACACAGUCACAAACCCCUGUGGGCUGGGUGGCUACAGAUUCACUGGCCAGGAGGCCCAGGCAGCAGCAGCCCAAGUCAGAGACAUCACAGGAGAUGCUCGCAGGCCAGUUCCACCUCAGAUGAGCCAUAUGACCUGGAGCCUCCGGUCUCAUUUAGAAAUGAUGGCUACUGUCUCUAGUUAACCAGAGGUUCAGAUGAGAUAAAGUGUAGCUGUAAAUAAAGCACAAUUUAAACUGCUAG
This 2090-nucleotide long non-coding RNA is filed under the name Chinchilla lanigera (long-tailed chinchilla). RNAcentral describes it as "lncRNA (ENSCLAG00000024675.1)". Lineage: Eukaryota; Metazoa; Chordata; Mammalia; Rodentia; Chinchillidae. The record is from RNAcentral.